RNAcentral lists this microRNA precursor (52 nucleotides) under Pteropus alecto (black flying fox). RNAcentral describes it as "mir-1302 microRNA precursor family". It matches the Rfam family "mir-1302 microRNA precursor family". Lineage: Eukaryota; Metazoa; Chordata; Mammalia; Chiroptera; Pteropodidae. The record is from Rfam by way of RNAcentral. RNAcentral also lists the same sequence under 1 other name.
UUUAUAGAAUAAGUAUAUCCCAUGCAAUAUUUGGGACAUACUUGUCCUAAAA